GGAGAUAGUGGAGUGUGAUGUCAUCCUAGGUCAUGGUGGGCCAUUUUUGUUGAAUAAAAGAAAGAGAAAAAGAAAAGAAAAAGGGCCCCCUCCUCCUUCUCUCUCCUCCCUCUCUUCUUCCUCUCUACCGUGCGACUCCUCCAUCUCCAUCUUCUUCAUCUCCUUCUUCUUUGAAAACCCAGCAACCAGUGAAGCCGGAGAAGCUGCCGGACCUCACGCCUUUGCCCGUUUGCUCGUCGUCGCCGCCGCCCUGUGCCGCCCGCGCUCGUUUACCGGUCAGCUCCCCUCCCCGUUCCGCCUCAGCCCGCGUCCCCAGCAGAUCUGAGAACCCCGAACUAGCAAGCCGAAGACCAGUUGAAGCCAGCAGCUCCACUCAUCGCCGGAGCUCACCGCCGCCGCCGCCGUCGUCCGUGCGCGAAGCUCGCGCGCUCGCGUGUCGCCUCGCUGGACAGCCGUUGCAUGCUGCUCCGCCCUGCUUGCCCGGUCCCGAGCUCCUUCCCCUCCGUCCAGCCGCCGUCGCCAUCGCUAGGGUCGCCGUCAGCCUCGCCGGAGCUCCGCCCGAGCUGCCGCCCCUCUUCUCCGCCGUUCCUCCGCCCAUCCCGACGCCGGAUCUGCUCCCUCUCGGCCCCAAGCAGAAUCUAGAAAAAUGGGUAUGGCAGCAGGUGUUUGGCCCGUUUUGGCCGCCUUCCCGAGCUCGGAUGCUCGGCCCGCUUUGAGGAAAGUCGAUCCUCGCGUCGUCCUCGUCGUCGCUCGGCUUGCUAAUCCGGUGAGUUUAGCUCACUAAACCUCGCUUAGAGGGUUAAUGAUGCUUUAGGUGUG
Molecule: long non-coding RNA, 819 nt
Filed under: Eucalyptus grandis
Lineage: Eukaryota; Viridiplantae; Streptophyta; Magnoliopsida; Myrtales; Myrtaceae
Description: long non-coding RNA (EGRA_LNC006810)
Source: RNAcentral